GUGGGCUGUGACCCUGGACCUGUGAAAUGUAGGGAAGUGGAAGAGGGCCAAAAGUCACCCUUCGCUGAGAAGCAAGUUCGCUCUUGUCCCACAAGUUGCAGUCUUCUUCUCUGUAUCAUUCGUCAACUAAGGUGUUAAAUAUUUAUUGAGCACCUACUUUGGCAGAGACUUUGUGCAGAACACAGGGCAUCCUCAGGUGAGAUUAACAUUUAAGUCAGUGGACUUUGGAGCGAAGCAGAUUGCUUUCCAUAAUGUGCGUGGGCCUUAUACAAUCAGUUGAAGGCCCAAAUAGAAAAAGACUGACCUCCCCUGAAAAAAAAAAGGAAUUCUGCCAACAUACUGCCUCUGGACUUGAACUGCAACUCUUCCCUGGGCCUCCAGCCUGCUGGUUCACCCUGCAGAUUAUGGAUUUGCCAGCCUCCACAAUCAUGGUAUGUGUCAUACGUCUUUAAAAACUCCCGCCUCGGAAUUGGGUCUCUCUCAUAACAAGUGGAAGUGGGGAAAACUGGUCAAAAAAUCUAUGAGAAGAUAAGCAAGUUCAUUUUGAUCACUGUAUCUAAAAAGAUCUAAGAAGCAAAGGCAGUGAAAUGCUUUGAAAGUGAUCUCAAGGAGAAGACAAAUUCUGAGUGUAACAGUGAGAUUUCAAUGACAUGGAGAAGCUGGAGAGAUGGCUGAAAUCCACGGAUUGUGAAACCUCCCUCAAUCAACUUUCCUCAGACCUGGUGUAAGAGGAAUUCACUGCUGGGUCUUGAAGGCAUUGUCACAUCUGGCUGUGCCUGGAGAAAUAUCUGUGCUUCUAUGCUGCACAUCUUCUUGGGGAGCUAUUCCAUCUAAGCACUAGUUUAAAUGAACUGUCCAUAGCAAAAGCAACGUACAUAUCAUUGCUGAAUGUGGAAAAAGAAGGACUUAUGAAAAACAAGCACAGUGAGGAGGGGAGGAGGCCCAGGGGGAACCGAGCUUGCACAGGGUGGAUGGAUGGAGACUGUAACUUGAAGUUUCUCUUCCUCUUCAUGAGACGAGAUGAGAAAACUCAAGUUCAGAAACCUGAGCCUCUUUCUUGUGUUUGAGUGACGGGGACAGCAGUCCUGCAGGCAUUGUAACUUCCAGUGACAAGCGCCUACAGUCUAAGGUGGAAGAUGCAGCUCCUAGCAUUGGCUUCUCCAGCCAUCAGAGAUAUGGAUUUUGAAAAGAGACUUUGGAUACCUUCCUCUACAGCAUAAAAAGGCAGUCCUGGC
Globicephala melas (long-finned pilot whale) is the source of this 1235-nucleotide long non-coding RNA. RefSeq lists it as uncharacterized. The record is from RefSeq and is a predicted model, not a curated record. Lineage: Eukaryota; Metazoa; Chordata; Mammalia; Artiodactyla; Delphinidae.